AUUGAACGCUGGCGGCAGGCCUAACACAUGCAAGUCGAACGGCAGCACAGAAGAGCUUGCUCUUUGGGUGGCAAGUGGCGGACGGGUGAGUAAUGUCUGGGAAACUGCCCGAUGGAGGGGGAUAACUACUGGAAACGGUAGCUAAUACCGCAUAACGUCGCAAGACCAAAGUGGGGGACCUUCGGGCCUCACACCAUCGGAUGUGCCCAGAUGGGAUUAGCUAGUAGGUGGGGUAAUGGCUCACCUAGGCGACGCUCCCUAGCUGGUCUGAGAGGAUGACCAGCCACACUGGAACUGAGACACGGUCCAGACUCCUACGGGAGGCAGCAGUGGGGAAUAUUGCACAAUGGGCGCAAGCCUGAUGCAGCCAUGCCGCGUGUAUGAAGAAGGCCUUCGGGUUGUAAAGUACUUUCAGCGGGGAGGAAGGCGGUGAGGUUAAUAACCUUGCCGAUUGACGUUACCCGCAGAAGAAGCACCGGCUAACUCCGUGCCAGCCGCCGCAGUAA
This 506-nucleotide ribosomal RNA is filed under the name uncultured bacterium. Its description in RNAcentral is "partial 16S ribosomal RNA". It matches the Rfam family "Bacterial small subunit ribosomal RNA", at positions 30 to 523 of the family's 1533-position model. The record is from RNAcentral.